This is a long non-coding RNA of Oncorhynchus tshawytscha (Chinook salmon), 1397 nucleotides long. NCBI's taxonomy places the organism in Eukaryota, Metazoa, Chordata, Actinopteri, Salmoniformes, Salmonidae. The record is from Ensembl.
GUGUAGACUAGAGUGUAGGCUGAAAACUGCAUCGAUAGCUUCUGUAUUUUUAUAAUUUGCGUAGUUUGAAGCAAAUGAAUAGGUAAUGGACACCGAUUAAUUGAUAGAGAUCAUACAUAAACUUCAUUCCGUUUUUAUCUGAACAGUUAUCAAUUGGAAAUGUCAAACCAACUCUGAUUAAGCAGAGAUCAGAACUUGCCAGAAGAAGGUUGAGAAAGUCUUGAUUAACAAUGGCGAAGUUAACAACAUAGCAACCUAUUGGAAAUUAGUUCACUCCGUUUCAUGUCAGAAGAAACUCGUGGGGAGUAAAGCAAGAAAAUAAAAAAAGGUGCAUUUUGUCUAUUAAUUUGCUGGCAAGAGUUCUGGAAGAAAAAUGAUAAAGCAGUUAUAGACACUCCUGGUCUUUGUGCUCCUCUUACUCUGCCUCUGGCACCAUGAUCCCCUGGUUACCCGAGUGCUACAUUGUCAUGGGGGCUGUGCCGAGGUGGACUCCAUGACAGAGGCGGUGGCCGGGGAGAGCUUCCUCAUGGACUGAAUCUCCUGUAAGAGGAGGUCCAGGCCCAUACCACGGUUGACUGGCACUUCAGAGCCACAGGAGAGGAGGAGUACAUCCGCAUAAAUAGAGGGUCCGGUUAGCCCUGACCAUUAUCCGUUUCGAAUUCAUCAACUCAAAGACGCUUGCCCGCUCCAUCAAAACUCCAUCAUAAUGUACGUGCUGAUCGUGGUGCUGCAGCUGUGGAUGUUUGUGGUGCUGAUCCACUGCUACAACAAGAUCUGGGCUGAACACGAGGCGUGGGACGCCCGCAAAACCUUGAGGGCCCAAGAACUGGCCCUAAUAAACGAACCUUUAGACUCAAAGGACAAUUGUGAUGGAGUGCUUCUGGAGUGACUUGUUAUGGUAAACAUCAAAGGUGGAGAACUCUGUCACAAGCAGGUGUUACCACUACACUAGUAGGCUAUUACAUCAUAGAAACAUCAUUUGAAUGUCUUAGCAUAGUGUGUAACACAUGCGGUUUACAAUGUACUUGAUUUACUGUACGAGGUAGUUGCAGCUGGCGUGAGUGGUGAUUAGAUUGACAGGUGGUGCCGAACAGCCUUAGUGUGUCAACUCAACAGAGAAUGUCAUCACGUGAUGGAUCAACAGUUCUGACAAAGCUCUGAUUACAGAUGGUUCCACCUAAGCUACAUAGAACGCUUUGGCAGGAACAACCAUGCAUCUACAUAGAUAGAUCUCAUCUACGACCAUGUUGUUAAAGUUUAUUUUAAUCGCUUUGGUGCUAUUUUCACAACUCUUAAUCCAAAACUCCAAGCUGGUCACACAUGUAAUGCAGCAAGUCUUUCAUUCAAAACCUGUCAUUGUGCAUUCAUUUCGAUUAUAAACAUCUCUCACCACUCAA